UAGCAACAGGGGGUAAAGCAGAAGUAAAAUUUUACUGUGUUUCCAAAACUGGAGGCUGCAGGAGGCAGCUCAGAGUGAACCAACAUGACUUUCUGCACAGCCAUUCUGGACGAACAGAGACCUUCCUGCAGAGAAAGCAAGCUGGGACUGCAGGGAAUGAUGCUGAAGUAUUUUAGGAAUGGCAGCCAUUUCCCUUUUUCAUUGCAGAAGAGUGGAGAAAAAAGUACAAUAGCAAAGAGAGAUUGAAAGUGAGGACAUUAAAAGUAUACAAAAAGCUAACGUUUAGAUGACUAAAACAUUUCCCAUUCACUUCCUUUAUAAUCACUAGCUAUAAAGACCAUGUUCUACAGAGUCUAAGACAUAUGAUGUCUGGGCCAUGACUAAAACUGUAGGUGUUAGACAGUCUUUCUAAAUCUGCUCUAGACAACCUGCUCAAUUCCAGCAAGUAGCUUUCCAGCCGAGGGGCCCCCAGCUGGGAGGGUGACUUCAUCCCAGCUCAAGAGAGGUUAAUCUCAACAAAGAGGAAGUCAGGCAAAAAGGUCAUAACGUCUGCUUGAAUUAAGAAGGAAUUCGUGUACAAACAAAAGUGAAGCAUACAGAGGGUGGAAGCAAGAAUGAGUAACCUGCAGAGAACACAGAGACUGUUCAAAUAUUCAGUGAUGACAUUAGGAAAGCUAGAGCUCUAAAGGAGUUGAAUCUGAACAGAGAUGUCAAAAGCAGUAGGAAAGCUUCUAUGGACAAGAGAGAAUGUGGGCUGAAUGAGAUGAGGACCUGGUUACAUAGGACAGGAAAAACAGCAAAGUACUGAAUGCUUUCUUUGCCUCAAUCUACUGGCAACACUGACCUUCAAGAACUCAGGUCUUGGAGACAGAUGGAAAGGCUGGAACAAGUACGUUACACUCUUUGUGAAAAAUGGUCAGGUCAGGAAAUGCUUACUUAAACAUACUUGCAGGCCCUGACGAGCUGCAACUGCAGUGCUGAGAGCCAGCAGAUGUCAUUGUGAGGCCACACUUUAUCAUCUUUCAUUGAUUCUGGCAGCUGAGAGAAGUGUCCAAAGUCUGAAGCAAAACAGAUGCCACUUCUAGCUUCGAGAAAGGCAAGAAGGAGGAUCUGAGGAGUAAAAGGCCAGUCAGCAUCAAUUUGAACCUUGGAAAUGUGAUCCCAGAAAGCAUUUUCAGGCAUAUGAAGGAGAAAAACAUCAUUAGUAAUAGUCAGCAGCAAUUCACCAAAGAGAAGUCAUACUUGAUCAGCUUUAUAAAUUUCUGUGAAGUGACUAGCCUGCUGGAUGUGUGAAGAGCAGUGGAUUUCUGUUGGGUCUCCCAUGAGAUCCUCACAGACAAGAUGCUGAAUUACAGGGUGAAUGGGCAGACAGUGACGUGGGUUGGACACUGAAUCACCAGGCCCAGAAUGUCGUGAUCAGCAGAAUAAAGGUGAUUUUAUUGCUGUGAACCCAUCCUGUCUACUCCCAGUCACCACUUUGUCCUUCAUAAAGUUUAGAAACGCCUUCUAAUAUUAUUUGCUACAUUGCCUUCACUGGGAUCAAGGUGAAGCUGACUGGUCUUUACUUCAAAGGAUCUGUCAUUGGUUCCUCUUGGAGACAGGAGUGGCAUUUGCUCUCUUCCAGUCCUCGGGAACUUCUCCCAUUUCCCAUGAAUUUUCAAAGGAAGCAUGGCCUCACAGUGAUGUCUGUGAGUUCCCUCAGCACUUGUGGAUGCACUCUGUUAACUCACACAGGGCUUGUGUACAGCCUGUUGUUUUCAAAGUUCCUCAGCUGGAUCCUUCUGAACCUGUGUCUUCAUUGCCUCUUACUGAAAAUCCUCAUUGAAAUCAA
This 1831-nucleotide long non-coding RNA is filed under the name Gallus gallus (chicken). RNAcentral's name for it is "long non-coding RNA NONGGAT011797". Lineage: Eukaryota; Metazoa; Chordata; Aves; Galliformes; Phasianidae. The record is from RNAcentral.